AGGCAUAUUGCCUUUUUAAAAUUGCUAAAUGCAAUUAAGACCAAGGUUAAGGGGCAAAACCAAGGCCAAAUGUUGGUAAAAGUUGAUGUUCAUAGCACAUCAAUGGUGGCAUUGGUGGACACUGGUGUGAACACUCUUUACAUGUCCAAGCAACUUGUGGACAAAAUUAAAUUGCCUUAUGAAAAGGUGCAUGGGUUGGUUAAGGGUGUGACUGCUAAAAGCAUGCCCAUUU
This 232-nucleotide unclassified non-coding RNA is filed under the name Hevea brasiliensis (rubber tree). Lineage: Eukaryota; Viridiplantae; Streptophyta; Magnoliopsida; Malpighiales; Euphorbiaceae. The record is from RNAcentral.